RNAcentral lists this long non-coding RNA (578 nucleotides) under Homo sapiens (human). RNAcentral describes it as "HSALNT0300067". The record is from RNAcentral. Lineage: Eukaryota; Metazoa; Chordata; Mammalia; Primates; Hominidae.
UGGGAUGUAAAAUUAUUCUAAGACAAAAGAGCUAGACUGGCUCUCUAAAAGAUAAAGGCAUGAAGACUAUAUGUGAAUCUAACCAAGAUUAGUGUUUUGAAAAACAAAUGGAAGGAAACAGCAAGCAUGCAAGAGAAAUGACGGUCUUUCUAAAGGGAAAGUUAUUUUCAAAAGAUGUAGUAGAUUGAACUAUUGCUUCUUCAUAUUCACUCUGCUUUCUUGUAAAAGAAUUAUAUACAGUUGCACCAUGCACGGGAUUUGUAGUGUCUCCCAUUGGAGAAGUAUGUAUCCUCACCCAGAUGACAUCAAGCUUGUUUGUGUGACUUGCUUUGGCCAAUGGCAUGUAAAUGAAUGUGGCAUGUAUCACAUCUAAGCCAAAGCAUUGAGAGUCGUGUUUUGCCAGCCAUAUCAUUUGCUUUUCCACCCUUUGGGAAACGGUUGAGUUUCUACUCACACUGCCUCUGAUCCUUUAAGCCAGAAGAUCAAAGCUAUCUUCAUCCAACGUGGAGUAGCUGAUAAGGCAAGCUACAGUUGGCCCAGCACUGUUUGGGGUAAUAAACGUGAACCUUCUGAUUUGC